AUUGAACGCUGGCGGCAGGCUUAACACAUGCAAGUCGAGCGGAGAUGAGGUGCUUGCACCUUAUCUUAGCGGCGGACGGGUGAGUAAUGCUUAGGAAUCUGCCUAUUAGUGGGGGACAACAUUCCGAAAGGAAUGCUAAUACCGCAUACGUCCUACGGGAGAAAGCAGGGGAUCUUCGGACCUUGCGCUAAUAGAUGAGCCUAAGUCGGAUUAGCUAGUUGGUGGGGUAAAGGCCUACCAAGGCGACGAUCUGUAGCGGGUCUGAGAGGAUGAUCCGCCCAACUGGGACUGAGACACGGCCCAGACUCCUACGGGAGGCAGCAAUGGGGAAUAUUGGGCAAUGGGGGGAACCCUGAUCCAGCCAUGCCGCGUGUGUGAAGAAGGCCUUAUGGUUGUAAAGCACUUUAAGCGAGGAGGGGGCUACUGAGACUAAUACUCUUGGAUAGUGGACGUUACUCGCAGAAUAAGCACCGGCUAACUCUGUGCCAGCCGCCGCAGUAA
RNAcentral lists this ribosomal RNA (501 nucleotides) under uncultured bacterium. RNAcentral's name for it is "partial 16S ribosomal RNA". It matches the Rfam family "Bacterial small subunit ribosomal RNA", at positions 30 to 523 of the family's 1533-position model. The record is from RNAcentral.